UAGCGUAUUCGUUUGACGUUAGCGACAGAAGAAGCACCGGCUAACUCCGUGCCAGCAGCCGCGGUAAUACGGAGGGUGCGAGCGUUAAUCGGAAUUACUGGGCGUAAAGCGCAUGCAGGUGGUUUGUUAAGUCAGAUGUGAAAGACCCGGGGCGUCAACCUCGGAAUAGCAUUUGUAAACUAGGCAGACUAGAGUACUGUAGAGGGGGGUAGGAAUUUCAGGUGUAGCGGUGAAAUGCGUAGAGAUCUGAAGGAAUACCGGUGGCGAAGGCGGCCCCCUCGGACAGAUACUGACACUCAGAUGCGAAAGCGUGGGGAGCAAACAGGAUUAGAUACCCUGGUAG
This 343-nucleotide ribosomal RNA is filed under the name uncultured bacterium. RNAcentral's name for it is "bacterial SSU rRNA". It matches the Rfam family "Bacterial small subunit ribosomal RNA", at positions 457 to 793 of the family's 1533-position model. The record is from RNAcentral.